GAUGAAGAACGUAGCGAAAUGCGAUAAGUAAUGUGAAUUGCAGAAUUCAGUGAAUCAUCGAAUCUUUGAACGCACAUUGCGCCCUCUGGUAUUCCGGGGGGCAUGCCUGUUCGAGCGUCAUUAUAACCACUCAAGCUCUCGCUUGGUAUUGGGGUUCGCGGUUUCGCGGCCCCUAAAAUCAGUGGCGGUGCCUGUCGGCUCUACGCGUAGUAAUACUCCUCGCGAUUGAGUCCGGUAGGUCUACUUGCCAGCAACCCCUAAUUUUUUUAAGGUUGACCUCGGAUCAGGUAGGGAUACCCGCUGAACUAAAGCAUAUCAAUAAGCGGAGGA
Molecule: unclassified non-coding RNA, 330 nt
Filed under: soil metagenome
Description: partial contains 5.8S ribosomal RNA, internal transcribed spacer 2, and large subunit ribosomal RNA
Rfam family: 5.8S ribosomal RNA (bases 1-120)
Source: RNAcentral